This 215-nucleotide long non-coding RNA is filed under the name Ananas comosus (pineapple). RNAcentral's name for it is "long non-coding RNA (ACOM_LNC044647)". Lineage: Eukaryota; Viridiplantae; Streptophyta; Magnoliopsida; Poales; Bromeliaceae. The record is from RNAcentral.
AUACUACCAUCACUAAAUUAAUAGCACCUAUGUUGUAUUUAUAGCUUACAUCAAAAUCUACCCAAAUCCUAAUCCAAUUAAAUUUAUACUCCGAUUAAUAUUUAAAUCUUAAUACUUUAUCUCCAACAUAUUUAAAUAUUAAUCCUAAUCUAACUAAAAUUCAACUACAAAUCUUACCAAAUCCUAACAAUCCCCAUCUUGAAUUGAUUCCUUAG